RNAcentral lists this ribosomal RNA (448 nucleotides) under uncultured bacterium. RNAcentral describes it as "bacterial SSU rRNA". It matches the Rfam family "Bacterial small subunit ribosomal RNA", at positions 328 to 793 of the family's 1533-position model. The record is from RNAcentral.
GACUUUGACUCCUACGGGAGGCAGCAGUGGGGAAUCUUGGACAAUGGGCGCAAGCCUGAUCCAGCCAUGCCGCGUGAGUGAUGAAGGCCCUAGGGUCGUAAAGCUCUUUCGCCAGGGAUGAUAAUGACAGUACCUGGUAAAGAAACCCCGGCUAACUCCGUGCCAGCAGCCGCGGUAAUACGGAGGGGGUUAGCGUUGUUCGGAAUUACUGGGCGUAAAGCGCGCGUAGGCGGACUGGAAAGUUGGGGGUGAAAUCCCGGGGCUCAACCCCGGAACUGCCUCCAAAACUCCCAGUCUUGAGUUCGAGAGAGGUGAGUGGAAUUCCGAGUGUAGAGGUGAAAUUCGUAGAUAUUCGGAGGAACACCAGUGGCGAAGGCGGCUCACUGGCUCGAUACUGACGCUGAGGUGCGAAAGUGUGGGGAGCAAACAGGAUUAGAUACCCUGGUAG